UGGUGCCUGUACCAGGCUGCUGUUUCUCUCAGCACAUGAAGCAGAUCCAGCUUUUCAGACACAGCUUUCAGGACACAGUGUAACUGGAUGUGCCUGAUAGAAAGAAGUGCCAGGCAAAUUGCACAACAUCCAGAAUUACAGAGGCUGGGAGGACUCUGCCAGUCAGGGAGAUGCUACUUGAGAAUGAACUAUUUAUCCCUCUAACAUUCACCUAAUCCCAGCCUGAUUUGCUUUCUCCCCUCAUACUUUAGAUCUCCUUCUCUCAGAAGUAUUCCUUGGUGACUUCUUACAGCAGGACUCAAAAGUCUCGUCUCUAAGGCUUGAGGCUUCUCUUUUCAUGGAGUUCUUGGCACUAUUGAAGACAAACUUUGUCCAACCCUUGGAACCCAGAGUCAAGGCCCUGCCUGACUUUGCUGUGUCACUGGGUGCAGAGAUCUGGGAGCUGCUGGGAAUUAUCCAGCGCUGGUUUAGGGUAAGGUCAGUACGUGACAAAAACAGCGGAUAGAGUUCUGGAGUUGUAGCCGCCUGUUUCAAUCUCUGCAGCCUCUGCACUUGAAUCAAUAGACACGGGGGUUUAAAAUCACCACCCUUUUUUUCAUGAUCUUACACUUACAAGCAAACUCUGAGUUCAGCUAAGCAAAGAGAGACACAUCCCCAACAGGCGACACUGAAUUCCUGUGACCGUGAGCAGAGUCUGGCCCUGUGGCAGUGGCAGUGGGAAUGUGCCUGAACCCACAGAAGAGAUCCUGUGUCUCCUGGGACCUUCUGAAUCAGAGACAGACACUCUUCAAUCUCACAGAUCUUUGCUGACUCUCUUUUCUUUCAAAUUCUGCUUCCUGGCUUCUCCCUUUACUAAAAUGUACCCCUGUGCCUUUUCUCUCUGCCUGUUCUUGUGCUAACCCAGAUCACUGUUGGUGUGUUCUUAAUCAGAUUCCUGGCAGGAACAGGUAAGUGUUUCCACUGUGCUUCAUUCCCCGGCCAUUGAAACGCAGUUUUCCUCAUCUUAGCCCCAGAAGAUGCCGCGCGUGUGCCUUGAGUCUUCGCCAGGGACUGCCCUGUGAGCCCAGCCCGUGGAGACAGGCCCAGGGCAGCAGAAGACACACGAGGAGGCAGCAGUUUAGGGCCUCGUCAGCAGCACCCCCGAAGAUCACUCUGAACCUCUUCGAAGCUCUGGGAGCUGCUGAUUGCGAGCCUUUGCUUCUCUCCUGCUUGGGGCUGCCUCAGGCUCCCAGACCUGCAGGGCUGAUCCUGCUGCUGACUAAUGUGCUUGCUGCAUGAGCGUGGGUGUGAGGAGCUGGGAUAUUCCCUUGGGCGAUCUGGGGAGCAAGGAGCUGCUGUGUGUGGCUUGCAUGAAGGGCAAGUGGCCAGGGGCAGUUGGCUCUGCUGGCAUCUGCUGUGACUGGGCAAAUCCCACCUGUUCUUUGAGCUGCCAUUUCCCCCUCUGCAGCACGGCCCGGCCCGGGAACACUCACCUCCUCAGGCUUUUUGUGAGCGUUAGUUUGUGAUUGUGAAAUGGUUUGAAGUUGUUGUUUUAAACAGGUAGAACAGGCAGAGAGCACAAACUGUGACAUAAACUUCCAAUGCCUCGGGCAGCCCCUGCAGCAUCUCCCAUUUUCAUCUGGCCACAGACACUCUGCUUGCUGACAGUCAGGCCCUGCACACACUGGAGUGGUGACUUUAACUGCUGUUCAUGUAACAUUUAGACCACAGAGGCCACAGUGGCCUGUUGCCUUCCUGUCAUUUGGCAGCUACUGGACACAACCCGAGCUGCAGCUGCCCUUUGGGAGUCACCCAGCAGCGUGUGCAGCACUGUCCAGUGGGAAUGGCCACCUGCAUGGACAGGACUAUUCCAAGAGCCAGCAAUUUCAGUCUCCACAGAAAAGGUCUCUUCCACCAAGGCACUGGAGAAGAAAGCAAAGCCACCUCUGUGCAGGGUAUCUGGUAUGCUAGGCUCAGGGUGCUUCUCAGGCAUGCUGCUGUUACUCAGGAAUAGCUGAAUCCUCCUUCCCAUGACACUGCUGGAAGGUCAGCACAAAACAGUGUCCUCUGAGGCCUGGCAGAGUAGAGCAGUUAUCAUGGCAACGGGAGAGCAGAACUUGUUCUCCUCUGGCACGGUUUGACCUGACCUGGAGGGCUGUUUGCUGCCCAAGCUCCUCCUAAUCCUCCCCCGGCCUCCCCGAGGCUGGGAUGCAGGAGGGGCUACAGGCUCCAGCUCACCCAGCCUUGGGAUCAGCCCGAUUUGGUCAUAGUGGAGCCCAGGAAUGUGAGUUGGUCGUUUUCUGCACGUUAUGGCUGCAAAUGUCAACCAAACUCACUGUUUGUGCUGUUGCAGUUGUGUAAAAAUAAUGGAGUGAAAUGAAUUGCAGAUGUGAUUUGCAUGUGCAUGUGAGAACCUUCCAUUAAACCUUCCAACUGGAGACCGGA
This is a non-coding RNA of Cyanistes caeruleus (blue tit), 2424 nucleotides long. The record is from RefSeq and is a predicted model, not a curated record. Lineage: Eukaryota; Metazoa; Chordata; Aves; Passeriformes; Paridae.